CCCGAGCCCCCCACCCGGGCGCCGCCCCCUCCCCUUCCCCCUUCCCCCGCCCCCUCCGGGAAGGCGCCGGGCGUUCCCCUUUCCUCCUCAGGCCGCCUGCGGGGCAGCGCCGAGUGGCGACGGGUGCGCCACCUCGACACAGCGUCGCCACCUAGUGACAGCGGGAUGCGCUGCGGCGUCCGGACGCGGAGCCGCCCGCCCUUAGGGGCUCGGCCGGUCGGGCCUGCCCUCCCGAAGUGCCAGCGCAGGGGACCGGGCAGGAGAGGACAGCCCCGGAGAGCCGUGCAGACGCAGCGGACGCAGCGGACACGUGCCCCGGCCGCAUCGUUCGCGGGGGCACGAGACUCGGCCCCUGCUUUUAGACGCCCCUGAACUUCACGACGGGUUUCUCGCAUCCCCGGGCUGGCUGCGUGGAGGGAAGCUGCUACCGGGCAGAGAACCCGGUGCGAACUCAGCUUGGGCCGCUCGCUGCUGGAUGAGGGGUGGAGGGAAAGGGAAGGUCGCUUUAUUCUGGAAGCUGGCAGCCGGGCCGCCGCUGGACGAACGUCUCAGCACCUUCGCCAUCCCCUGAGGGGUGAAGCCGGGGGGUUGCAGGGGAGGGAAGGCGGCUGCACGCUGGAGAGGAGGUGGCCUGGUCCUUAGUCCCAUGUUGUCGGCAUGACCCCGAGCAGACUUGCUGGUAGCUGCGGCCGCUGAUCUUACCUUCCGAGGUGGUCUGGAGCUUCACACCGCCCCCCCCCCCCCCCCCCCCGCCCCAAGGCCUGCAAAUCUCAAAGUUCUGCGGCAGACCAAGGGACUUCGGUCCGCAAGCACCGAGGGCAUAAGCUUGAAGCGAGGUAACCCUUAGGACUGGUUGGCAUGCUGAUACAAAAUCACCCACACCCUUUAAGGGAACAGCUGCAUUCCAAGCACUGUCCUCCCAAGGGCUGAUGACCCCCUUCCCUGCGUGAACUUGAACUGAGAGAGAAAGAAAGUUCUCAAUAGGCACCACUCAAUAAGCCCUGCAGAGAGAGAGCCUUGGCCUGACUGCUGGGGUUCCUCAGAUUUAGAAUAUGGGGUAUUCAGCACCUCUUACCCACAGCUUUGGACCUUCGCUGCCAUUCUUGGGCAACAGGAGAAACCCCCCACCCAUAUGGGAGAAGUGCAAGUAGAUGCAAAGAAUAGAUGCAAACUGAGGACAGAAAGGGCAGUCAGAGCUGCCAUGGAUGUUUGUGCAAGUUGCUCACUGCACAAGGGCACCUGGUGGGGGGUGAGGGGUGAGGGAUGGGUACCCGGUGCUGGGAUCUGGAUCUCAGCCCUUACCUGACCACAAAGCCCCGCAGCCUGGCAAGGGCUGUGGCUGCCCAGAGGAGGGUGAGGACGCUUCAGAUCA
RNAcentral lists this long non-coding RNA (1372 nucleotides) under Canis lupus dingo (dingo). RNAcentral's name for it is "lncRNA (ENSCAFG00020022225.1)". Lineage: Eukaryota; Metazoa; Chordata; Mammalia; Carnivora; Canidae. The record is from RNAcentral.